Molecule: ribosomal RNA, 583 nt
Filed under: Aspergillus tubingensis
Lineage: Eukaryota; Fungi; Ascomycota; Eurotiomycetes; Eurotiales; Aspergillaceae
Description: eukaryotic LSU rRNA
Rfam family: 5.8S ribosomal RNA (bases 190-343)
Source: RNAcentral
GGGUUCGGAGUGCGGGCUCUUUGGGCCACCUCCCAUCCGUGUCUAUUAUACCCUGUUGCUUCGGCGGGCCCGCCGCUUGUCGGCCGCCGGGGGGGCGCCUUUGCCCCCCGGGCCCGUGCCCGCCGGAGACCCCAACACGAACACUGUCUGAAAGCGUGCAGUCUGAGUUGAUUGAAUGCAAUCAGUUAAAACUUUCAACAAUGGAUCUCUUGGUUCCGGCAUCGAUGAAGAACGCAGCGAAAUGCGAUAACUAAUGUGAAUUGCAGAAUUCACUGAAUCAUCGAGUCUUUGAACGCACAUUGCGCCCCCUGGUAUUCCGGGGGGCAUGCCUGUCCGAGCGUCAUUGCUGCCCUCAAGCCCGGCUUGUGUGUUGGGUCGCCGUCCCCCUCUCCGGGGGGACGGGCCCGAAAGGCAGCGGCGGCACCGCGUCCGAUCCUCGAGCGUAUGGGGCUUUGUCACAUGCUCUGUAGGAUUGGCCGGCGCCUGCCGACGUUUUCCAACCAUUUUUUCCAGGUUGACCUCGGAUCAGGUAGGGAUACCCGCUGAACUUAAGCAUAUCAAUAAGCGGAGGAAUUACCGAGUG